Molecule: ribosomal RNA, 378 nt
Filed under: uncultured eukaryote
Lineage: Eukaryota
Description: SSU rRNA
Rfam family: Eukaryotic small subunit ribosomal RNA
Source: RNAcentral
AGCUCCAAUAGCGUAUAUUAAAGUUGUUGCGGUUAAAAAGCUCGUAGUUGGAUCUCGGCAGGCAGGGGGUGGUUCGCUCCUUAGCGCUACUGCCCCAUUUGCCUGUGUGAUUGGCAGAGGUUUCGGGGUGCCCUUUAUUGAGUGACCCGGAGCGCUGUCAGGUUUACUUUGAAAAAAUUAGAGUGCUCAAAGCAGGCCUACGCUUGAAUACAUUAGCAUGGAAUAAUGGAAUAGGACUUUGGUGCUAUUUUGUUGGUUUAUGGGACCGAAGUAAUGAUUAACAGGGACAGUUGGGGCCGUUUAUAUUUCGUUGUCAGAGGUGAAAUUCUUGGAUUUACGAAGGAUAAACUUCUGCGAAAGCAUUCGGCAAGGAUGUUU